This 579-nucleotide ribosomal RNA is filed under the name uncultured bacterium. RNAcentral describes it as "bacterial SSU rRNA". It matches the Rfam family "Bacterial small subunit ribosomal RNA", at positions 338 to 916 of the family's 1533-position model. The record is from RNAcentral.
CCUACGGGAGGCAGCAGUAAGGAAUAUUGGUCAAUGGAGGCAACUCUGAACCAGCCAUGCCGCGUGCAGGAUGACGGCCCUAUGGGUUGUAAACUGCUUUUAUACAAGAGAAAACCCUGGUACGUGUACCAGGUUGAUAGUAUUGUAAGAAUAAGCAUCGGCUAACUUCGUGCCAGCAGCCGCGGUAAGACGAAGGAUGCAAGCGUUAUCCGGAUUCAUUGGGUUUAAAGGGUGCGUAGGCGGACUGAUAAGUCAGUGGUGAAAUCUCUUUGCUUAACAAAGAAACUGCCAUUGAUACUGUCGGUCUAGAGUAUAGAUGACGUUGGCGGAAUAUGACAUGUAGUGGUGAAAUACUUAGAUAUGCCAUAGAACACCGAUUGCGAAGGCAGCUAACGAAACUAUAACUGACGCUGAGGCACGAAAGUGCGGGGAUCAAACAGGAUUAGAUACCCUGGUAGUCCGCACCGUAAACGAUGAUUACUCGUUGUUGGCGAUAUGACAGUCAGCGACCAAGCGAAAGCGAUAAGUAAUCCACCUGGGGAGUACGCCGGCAACGGUGAAACUCAAAUGAAUUGACGG